UGGGCCGUGCUGGCCUUCAAACUCGUUUGUGUUGCAUCGCUGUAGACGCGUGAGUGUGCAGUGCGUUCAGCCUCGGUGAAUGGAACAAGAUCCAUGCGGAGUCAAAUCGCAAUUGACGGUAACAACAACAGACAAUAUUAAGCAAUACGUUUACAAAAUUUAAAUACAUGCUGUCGAGUGUAGGACGUGUUCACGGACUUAAGGGUGGAUGUAGUGGCCUGGAUAGUUGUUACAACCGUCCUUAGUACUGUGGAGCCGAGUCGUGUAAUUCGAUUGUGUACAGCGAAGAAUCAGCCCAAGGCCUUCACCACUCUGCUUUAUCCACGCAGCGUCACCCAAUUUCCUGUCGAGAUGUAACGAGGUAGUGAGAUGGAUUUGUUCCAACAUUCGACUGGAUUAUAACUUAGGUGUUCCAUAACAAGACAUGGCGCGUUUGUGCAAGCUCGGGUACAGGAGAGAUUCCUGCAAGGCAGUGCCUCUCGUUUCGAGAAUUCAGUACUAUCAGCGGAAAUUUCUCCUUCGAAUCAUCAUACCGUUUUCUGGAGCUGAAAAUCGCAACUUAGUCGUUGGAAUGUAUAAAAAGAAAGCAGUUUCCGUUUUAUGAACAACGAGCGUUUUUCAUGUUAUCGGGUUCUUCUUAUCUCGAUUUCUCCAGAAUCAAAUUAUGGUGUUCUUGACCACACCUAUUCGAUAAAAGCAGCGUGCGGGUUUGGACUAACUGUACUACAGUUAGCUCGGACGACUAUUUCAGGGACCGAAGUUCGGGAGCAGAAUUAUACUCCAAGAGUUCUGGCUUCUGUGAAG
Cryptotermes secundus is the source of this 804-nucleotide long non-coding RNA. RefSeq lists it as uncharacterized. The record is from RefSeq and is a predicted model, not a curated record. The transcript is spliced from 3 exons. Lineage: Eukaryota; Metazoa; Arthropoda; Insecta; Blattodea; Kalotermitidae.